This 413-nucleotide ribosomal RNA is filed under the name uncultured bacterium. RNAcentral's name for it is "bacterial SSU rRNA". It matches the Rfam family "Bacterial small subunit ribosomal RNA", at positions 355 to 794 of the family's 1533-position model. The record is from RNAcentral.
UGGGGAAUCUUGCGCAAUGGGCGAAAGCCUGACGCAGCAACGCCGCGUGCGGGAUGAAGGCCUUCGGGUUGUAAACCGCUUUCAGCAGGGACGCGGUACCUGCAGAAGAAGCCCCGGCUAACUACGUGCCAGCAGCCGCGGUAAUACGUAGGGGGCAAGCGUUGUCCGGAUCUAUUGGGCGUAAAGAGCUCGUAGGCGGUUUCGUAAGUCGAGUUGAAAAAUCUGGGCUCAACCCAGUGGAGCACUCGAUACUGCGAGACUAGAGUACGGUAGAGGAGUGUGGAAUUCCUGGUGUAGCGGUGAAAUGCGCAGAUAUCGUGAGGAACACCAGAGGCGAAGGCGGUUUCCUGGACAGUUACUGACGCUCAGGCACGAAAGCGUGGGGAGCAAAAGGGAUUAGAUACCCUAGUAGU